Long non-coding RNA from Spinacia oleracea (spinach), 686 nucleotides. RefSeq lists it as uncharacterized. The record is from RefSeq and is a predicted model, not a curated record. Lineage: Eukaryota; Viridiplantae; Streptophyta; Magnoliopsida; Caryophyllales; Amaranthaceae. The transcript is spliced from 3 exons.
UACGUUACUUUCUUUUUUGCAUACUAUGUUGGAUACGUGUAAAUUACAUCCUUUGGAAAAACCUUAUUGAUGGUAAAUUUUGGUUUAGUGUUGCUUAUGAACGUUAUGGUUGAUUUCCUUAGCAUCCUUCUUUCCAUAUUAGGCCAAUAUUGCAAUAAUUAUUUCCAUCUCUGUUACGUAGGAGUAAUAAAAAGUGCAAACAUCAUAAAUAAGGUCGAGUUCACUCCGUCUAUUAGGCACAUACAUUGCUGGUGCUCCUUUCUUCAUAAACAAAAUUCAUCAGUUUUUUUUACGAGCAUCCGCGCGCGAUAGCGCGCGGUCCGAUUCCUAGUGUACAAAAAAAGAGUUGCUGCAUUACCGCCAAUUGAGAUAGGUGAACAAAGGCAAUCUUCUUCUUCUUUGAUAGACCUUCAGCAACAAUGGCGAACUGAAAAGGCGACUCGGUUAAUCAAAUUUCUUAUCGUAGUCAAGAAUAAGGUACAAGCCAUUAUCACCGGAGAGCAGGAAAUGAGAACAAAUUCAAACAAUUUGUACAUCAUGGAUAAUUCAAGUGGGAUAAUUUAUUUCUCUAUAUAAGAUGAUUACAACUUGUGUGAUCCAGGAACUUCUAAUUUAUGGGUUGUGUUUUGGAACGUUUAGUUGUAAACUGUCAUACUACAUUAAGGAUAAUUGUAAUAGAUAUUGAC